CAUUCGGUAAAGCAGCAGGAUUAUUUUCAUUGGAAGGUUAGACAGUUGAAAGAAAUUUCCAGUGAAAAAAAUACAUGGCUCCAGGGUGUAAAUGGACGAGAUGGAUACGGCGGAGAAAAACUUCGCUACCAGAGUAGAGCGCUUGAAUCACUGACCGAGUUAUACCACCUGACUCAUCAAAAGAAUCAAAUGGUGAUACGGCGUAAGUGGCUCAACCUACUAACGCCACUGUCAUUAGCAGUAUGGUGGUUAGAUGAUGGCUCAAUUAUUACCAAUGGUAGGCGAGGAGUUCUCUGCACUGACUCGUUUUCACAUGAAGCGCAGAAAUUACUGAAACAAUAUCUCGAAAAAGUUUGGAACAUCAGUGUUAGCAUAGGCAAAAUUCGGCGAUAUCGUGAAAGUAAAGAGGUGACUUAUUAUCGAUUAUGGAUUCGAUCGAGCGAGCAGUUGCAGAAAUUGCUACGCAUCAUCCUGCCAUAUGUGCAGGUAGAGUCUAUGCUUCCUAAAGUGAUACUGUUAUAUAGUGAUUCCCAAUUGCAACAACGCUGGAUUUCUGAAGUGAGUAAGUUUUCCGGAUUUUCAGAAACCGUAGUAGAGAAGUACGCUACGGCAAAGAAAGCCAAAUGGAAACGCUUCAGAAAGUGAUAUAGUCCGAUCCUCUGGGUAACCAGAGUACAAUUACACGUGACCCGUGUAGUCCAGGCCCUAAACGAUGUCGACUAGUCAUGUGGAGUGUCGACCCUCCACGUGGCGUAGCUAACGCGUUAAGUCGACCGCCUGGGAAUUACGAUCGCAAGAUUAAAACUCAAAGGAAUAGACGGGGACCCGUACAACCGGUGGAGCGUCUGGUUUAAUUCGACAAUAAGCGAAGAACCUUACCACGGCUUGACAUGCUCUAGAAAGCUUCUGGAAACAGGAGCCCUCCUUACGGACUGGAAGCACAGGUGCUGCAUGGUUGUCGUCAGCUCGUAUCGUGAGACGUUCCGUUAAGUCGGGUAACGAGCGCUACCCCUGCUGUCUGUUAUAAGUGUCAGACAGGACUGCCGACUCUACGUCGGAGGAAGGCGGGGAUGACGUCAAAUCAGCAUGGCCCUUACGUCGUGGGCGACACAGGCGCUACAAUGGGUGGGACAAUGGGUUGCCAAACCGCAAGGUGGAGCUAAUCCCAUCAAACCCAUCCUCAGUUCAGAUUGGGGUCUGCAAUUCGACCCCAUGAAGUCGGAAUCGGUAGUAAUCGCGGAUCAGCCACGCCGCGGUGAAUACGUUCUCGGGUCUUGUACUCACAUUACACAACGCGUCGGGCAGUUUGUCAAACAAGCAGGUUAAAAUCCUGCCAAACUUUACACAACCGUCAAAAGUAGUAGUGAACAGCCA
RNAcentral lists this ribosomal RNA (1374 nucleotides) under Parcubacteria group bacterium RIFCSPHIGHO2_01_FULL_47_10b. RNAcentral describes it as "bacterial SSU rRNA". The stretch from base 512 to 1334 matches the Rfam family "Bacterial small subunit ribosomal RNA". The record is from RNAcentral.